GGGCAGGCUCGCCUUGUCGCUGCCCCUCGCGGGGGAGAGGAAAGUCCGGGCAACGCAGAGCACCGUCCAAGUUAACGACUUGAUAGCCGUGAGGUUAUAGGAAACGUAACAGAAAACGACCGCCCCUGCUUGCAGGGGUAAGGGUGAAAAGGCGGGGUAAGAGCCCACCGCGGCGGCAGCGAUGUCGCCGGCCGUACGUCUGACGGGUUGCAAGACCGUGUAUACCGGCAGUUAAGGGUUGCUCGCCCGAUGUCGGGGGGUAGGUUGCUGGAGGCGGCGGGUGACCGCCGUCGUAGAUAAAUGACAGGGGCUCCGCACCGGAAGCGCGCAGCGGAGUACAGAACCCGGCUUACAGAGCCUGCUAAAAC
This 368-nucleotide RNase P RNA is filed under the name Alistipes communis. RNAcentral describes it as "RNase P RNA component class A". It matches the Rfam family "Bacterial RNase P class A". From Rfam's summary of the family: Ribonuclease P (RNase P) is a ubiquitous endoribonuclease, found in archaea, bacteria and eukarya as well as chloroplasts and mitochondria. Its best characterised activity is the generation of mature 5'-ends of tRNAs by cleaving the 5'-leader elements of precursor-tRNAs. Cellular RNase Ps are ribonucleoproteins. The record is from RNAcentral. Lineage: Bacteria; Pseudomonadati; Bacteroidota; Bacteroidia; Bacteroidales; Rikenellaceae.